Molecule: ribosomal RNA, 449 nt
Filed under: uncultured bacterium
Lineage: Bacteria
Description: partial 16S ribosomal RNA
Rfam family: Bacterial small subunit ribosomal RNA
Source: RNAcentral
CCUACGGGGGGCUGCAGUCGAGAAUCUUCGGCAAUGGGCGCAAGCCUGACCGAGCGACGCCGCGUGCGGGAUGAAGGCCUUCGGGUUGUAAACCGCUGUCAGAGGGGAGGAAAUGCAUGGGAGUUCUCUCUCGUGUUUGACCUAUCCUCAGAGGAAGUACGGGCUAAGUUCGUGCCAGCAGCCGCGGUAAUACGAACCGUGCGAACGUUAUUCGUAAUCCGUGGGCUUAAGGCUGGGAUAGUCGGGUGUGAAAUCCCUCGGCUCAACCGAGGAAUUGCGCCCAAAACUACCUGGCUUGAGGAAGAUAGAGGUAAGCGGAACUAAUGGUGGAGCGGUGAAAUGCGUUGAUAUCAUUAGGAACACCUGUGGCGAAAGCAGCUUACUGGGUCUUAUCUGACGCUGAGGCACGAAAGCUAGGGGAGCGAACGGGAUUAGAUACCCCUGUAGUC